RNAcentral lists this long non-coding RNA (1815 nucleotides) under Equus caballus (horse). RNAcentral's name for it is "lncRNA (ENSECAG00000054230.1)". Lineage: Eukaryota; Metazoa; Chordata; Mammalia; Perissodactyla; Equidae. The record is from RNAcentral.
AAAAAGAUAUUUUUAAAUUGAGUUAGGUUUGUUUGCCUUGUUAAAAAUGAACAAUGAAAGGGGCUGGUCCCGUGGCGCAGUGGCUAAGUUCGCGCACUCUGCUUUGGUGGGUUUGGAUCCCCAGUGUGGACCUACCACCGCUCAUCAAGCCACGCUGUGGCGGGAUCCCACAUAAAAUAGAGGAAGACUGGCACAGAUGUUAGCUCAGAGACAAUCUUCCUCACACACACACACAAAAGAACAAUGAAAAGCAACAGGAUGCCAGAGUCAACUUAUGUGCACUUCUAAGGUUGCUUUGGAGCCCUUCCUCCCCGGCAGCAGCCUCCACUUGUCCACCCAGAAGAUGCCCGGGAGAGAUGAAUGUUCCUUGGAUCCAAAGCAGUCACAUCAGACAUUAUAUAAUAUGUGUACCUCUGAACCACUGGAUUCCAUGUAGAUGAUAGGAUUCCCCUCCACCAGCAAGCACUAAGGGCCACUGCUAAAGCAUAUUUGGAUUUUUUAAGGGAAGAAUUUCAGUGUCCCCUUGCAGAGAAGCCAUCCACUGGGGACCGGGAGCGCACACCCCUGCAGUGAUGUGAUGUGACAGCAAGGAUGGCUUUCACCACAAGAGCAGCGGAGAAAAUUGGACAAGAGGAACCCUGGGAGGCCGGGGUUAUCUAAACACAGCAAGUCACCCGAUAUGUCAAAGAGGCAAAAAGGAAGACCUUCUCUGUGAUUUCUGUGACAGGGGAACUUAUUGUUCAACCCAACUGAGAAAACAGAUGUGGUCACGUUUCUCUGCAUAAAGGAACUUACAUAGAGGAUAUGAGGCUAGUAAGAGGUGCCAGACGUGAGAAUAAACAUUGAAACACCUAUCUUGCGGAGGGGACAGUGAUCCCUUGGCGGUCCCUUGGCUGUCCGCUGAAACUUUUUGUUAUACGAAUUUGAGAGGUUACAAAAAGGACGUGAGAUGCAUGGAAUUCAUUAACAACUAUCUGUGAAAGAAUAUCCUAAUUAGCAUAACUCCAUGCUACAAGCCUGAAUCAGCAUGCCAGAGGAGAGGGCCUGAACAGAGGGGGGUAAACCUUAUGAACUGAAAGAAAAUAAGGCAGUCUAGAGGAGCGAAAACAAAUAGGUGGAUGGUUCUCCCACGAGAUUUAAAAUUCAACAGGACUGUGGCACGUUCCCUCUUAAUGACUGUGAAAUUGAUUGGGAUAUAGGCUAAUAGAGGUCCCAGGAGUGCUAAACUAAAUUAGAGGAAGUCCUAUAAUUACAGCUAGCAGUUAAUUAUUCUAUGAUGGGAAUGGUAAUCAACGGAACAGACACACUGUGAUUUUCCAUCUUCCCUGCAAAACAUCCCUCACCAAGUCUCUUAAGAGUAGUAGAGCGGCCAGUUUUGUGGUUCAACUUACUGUGGCUUCCUAGUGCACCCAAAUAAAAUCCAAACCAGGGCCUCCUGCAGGUGAUUUGGCCUGCGGCCUCAUUCCUGGCUCUUGCCUGCCUUUCCCACAUGAGCCUCUUGUGGUUCUUCAACACAUGCCUCGUUCUCUCUGCCUGGAAUGCUCUCUCCCCAGAUUUCCACCAGGCUCGCUCCCUGCCUCUGUGCAGACAUCAAGAUGGCGGCUCCUUAGAGAAGCAUUCGCGGUCCAUUCUAUCUAAUAGAGAUACACCGCAUCCCUCGACGCCACUUUACUCUUCUUCAUGCCAUUAUUGUCCCCUGACACUUGUUCUUGAUAAUCUGCCUCCCCUGAAACUCCAUGGGAGCAGUGACUUGGUCCGUCUUAUUCCCAUUGUACCUUUUAGCUCCCAGAAUACAGCCUGGCUCUGAGUUGGUCC